ACCAAGUCUGGAGCCCCUGCUCUCCACCAUAGCCCAGCCGAGUGCUGUCUCUGAGGGUGCAGGGUAAGCACUCAAGCAAGUUAUGUGCUUGAGGCAGAAAGGGUAUUUGAACAAGUUGUUUGCAGAAGGGCUGAUUACGCUGUGAUUCCCAAAGCACAAGGCAUCUAAAGGGCUCCAGAGAUGCAAGCUCUUCAGGGAGAGUCCCCUGCGCUUUACAGUUAACCCUCACAAGAUUGCUGGCCUUGUGGAAUUACUUCAUUUGUCUCACACAGCAGGAGGUCAGAAAGGAUCCAAGCAGAGGAGCAGCAGAUUGCCAAAGGCCCAUGAAGUGCAGGAGGGGUCAAGCAGUUUCAGACAUUAUAGUGCAAACGAACUGUCCAUUGUCUCUGGCAUCACCAUGCUCAACUUCCAAUAGAGACGGGGAGUUAACUAUCCUCCUUCUCAUCUGGAAGAAAACCUGUUCCUCUCUUUGUCUGGUAACCGAAGUUAAGUAUAGUAUCAGCAGUGCAAACUCUACCAUCUAAGUCUACAGCGAAGGACACACAAACCAUUUCAGGUCAAGCAAAUUGCAGCAGUGGGCAGCCCAGCUGGGCUUCUCAUUUCAGAGGAGAAGUUCUGAGCUGCAGACAGCUUUCCCUGGGAUUGCCAAGUGCCCCUGCUAGUCUCCUAUCAAGUCACGGAGGAAAAGAAUUUUAUCUGUAAUAAGCUCUAUUUUCCUGAAUUGUCGAGGGGGAGGAGAAAGAAAAUGAUUCCUGUAGCAGUUCUGGAAAACUUUAAAAUGUUAUUGCUAUGGUAACAGUUCCCUGUCACCAGUGAAAUGGGGGGAGAGGGAAGAGAAGCAUGGUAGGCGGAAUCUGAAUUUAACACCUUAGAUUUAAUCUGCACACCUCUGGCAGCAUGGUCUGUUGUGAAUAACAUCAGCAAUUUGCCUUUGGUUUGGUAUAAACAAAACUGCAGGUAAUGGAAAUUCAAGUUGAAAGCCUGAGAACAGUAGGGAGAAUCGAAAGUGGAACCAGAUUAAAAAAUCCCCACAAGCCAAACAUGUUAUAUAUGGUGGUGGGAAAAUCAGGUACAGAGCUGGGCUAGGAAAUGCUUCCACCAAGUCAACCCUGUGCAGUUUGCAGUGGAGCUCAUCUAUGUGAGCCAGAAGGACGUGGCAAAAGGCUGAACUUCUUUCUAGUAUUCUCAGAAGGGAAAGUAAAAUAGGCUGGAGAAGGCCUUUAAAGACUCAGAGCUGAAGAAGAGGUAGAAGAGGGGACCUCUGAUUGUAUCAGGCCAGAGGAAGUUUCAUUAAAACAAUGGAAUCUGGUGAAACAAACAUCCGUUACAAGGAACAGUUCUUAGGCGAGAGAAAGUCUUUCGGGUAACAAGACGGUGGGCAGGGGCUGAACAGCUUUAUGUUGCAUCUCUCAGGAGACACGACCCUGCAAACAGACUCCAUAUGCAUCUCAGGAAUUUAGGAUCAAUUCAAUAUUGGACCUGAAUCCCGCCCCUUUUGCGUGUGCGAGUGCUUGCGUGCAUGCAUAUAUGCAAGCAUAUACACAGGUGUUCUCUUUGAUUAGGGUUGCCACUCCUCCAGGAUUGGCCUGGAAUCUCCCAGAAUUGGCAUCGACCUCCCGGUGACUGUUGUAAGCAAUCUGGGAGAUUUUAAUAGGAUAUUUAAGAAAAUGACAUUAUGUCAUGCUGGGAAAAAAAAAAUCUCCUGGAAUAGCUGCAGUCAGAGUUGGCAACCCUAUCUUUGAUGCACAACUGCAAAACACGCUCAAUUUUCAAUGAACAUAAUGGAACUUAAGCAAGUGCUUAAGUGCUCUGCUGAAUUGGGGCCUGUAUCACUAUAGACACAUCCCCAGCAAUCUUGAAAUUAAAAAUGACAACACAAGUACCUGUUACAUAAGAGCUAGGUGUGAUUAUUGUGUGAUCACACCAUUGUAGUGGUUGAUAGCUCUUUGGCUGAACACUGUUCGAAAGAAGGGUAGAUCAUCAAGAGGGGAAAAAAUGGAUCCUGACACAAAGAAAGCUUUUGAAAGAUUGUUUCCUUUUUGGCUCAAUGAACAUUUGUAAUCCCAAAUUCUUGUUGCUAUUCCUACCACCUGGUGAAAAUGAAACUAAUCCAACACAUAGACUCUGAUCUCUGCCCACACAAUGAACAUGAAAGACCAACAUGCAUUAACCAGGCCCAUUACAACAACGUGCCUUUAAAUCUGCAGGUGCUGUGCUUUCUUUUAUAUCAACUCCCAACGUUUCAUUUUGGAUGGAUCUCUAAAUGGCACCGUUGAGGUGGCCUCUCCCCUUACUUUGCCAAGGAAAUCCACCAAAGGAGAAAUGAGUGUGAAGGUCCUCCAAGGAAAGGACACAUACACCUCUACUCCGAUAUAACGCUGUCCUCGGGAGCCAAAAAAUCUUACCGCAUUAUAGGUGA
Trachemys scripta elegans is the source of this 2419-nucleotide long non-coding RNA. RefSeq lists it as uncharacterized. Lineage: Eukaryota; Metazoa; Chordata; Testudines; Emydidae. The transcript has 3 exons. The record is from RefSeq and is a predicted model, not a curated record.